GACGAACGCUGGCGGCGUGCCUAAUACAUGCAAGUUGAGCGAUGAAGAUUGGUGCUUGCACCAAUUUGAAGAGCAGCGCACGGGUGAGUAACGCGUGGGGAAUCUGCCUUUGAGCGGGGGACAACAUUUGGAAACGAAUGCUAAUACCGCAUAACAACUUUAAACAUAAGUUUUAAGUUUGAAAGAUGCAAUUGCAUCACUCAAAGAUGAUCCCGCGUUGUAUUAGCUAGUUGGUGAGGUAAAGGCUCACCAAGGCGAUGAUACAUAGCCGACCUGAGAGGGUGAUCGGCCACAUUGGGACUGAGACACGGCCCAAACGCCUACGGGAGGCAGCAGUAGGGAAUCUUCGGCAAUGGACGAAAGUCUGACCGAGCAACGCCGCGGGAGUGAAGAAGGGUUUCGGAUCGUAAAACUCUGUUGGUAGAGAAGAACGUUGGUGAGAGUGGAAAGCUCAUCAAGUGACGGUAACUACCCAGAAAGGGACGGCUAACUACGUG
RNAcentral lists this ribosomal RNA (497 nucleotides) under uncultured bacterium. RNAcentral describes it as "partial 16S ribosomal RNA". It matches the Rfam family "Bacterial small subunit ribosomal RNA", at positions 28 to 507 of the family's 1533-position model. The record is from RNAcentral.